UACGUAGGUGGCGAGCGUUAUCCGGAAUUACUGGGCGUAAAGCGCACGCAGGCGGCUUUUUAAGUUUGACGUGAAAACUCCUAGCUUAACUGGGAGAGGACGUUGAAGACUGGAAGGCUUGAGGCAAUGAGAGGGGUGCGGAAUUCCGGGUGUAGUGGUGGAAUGCGUAGAGAUCCGGAGGAACACCAACGGCGCAAGCAGCACCCUGGCCGAGGACUGACACUGAGGGACGAAAGCGUGGGGAGCGAACAGG
Molecule: ribosomal RNA, 253 nt
Filed under: uncultured bacterium
Lineage: Bacteria
Description: partial 16S ribosomal RNA
Rfam family: Bacterial small subunit ribosomal RNA
Source: RNAcentral